ACGGGAGGCAGCAGUGGGGAAUAUUGGGCAAUGGGGGCAACCCUGACCCAGCAACGCCGCGUGAGGGAUGAAGGCCUUCGGGUUGUAAACCUCUGUCCUUGGGGACGAACAAAUGACGGUACCCAGGGAGGAAGCUCCGGCUAACUACGUGCCAGCAGCCGCGGUAAUACGUAGGGAGCGAGCGUUGUCCGGAAUCACUGGGCGUAAAGGGUGCGUAGGCGGUCAUUUAAGUCAGAUGUGAAAUACCCGGGCUUAACCCGGGAGCUGCAUCUGAUACUGGACGACUUGAGUACAGGAGAGGAAAGUGGAAUUCCUAGUGUAGCGGUGAAAUGCAUAGAUAUUAGGAGGAACACCAGUGGCGAAGGCGGCUUUCUGGACUGUAACUGACGCUGAGGCACGAAAGCGUGGGGAGCAAACAGGAUUAGAUACCCUGGUA
RNAcentral lists this ribosomal RNA (436 nucleotides) under uncultured bacterium. RNAcentral describes it as "partial 16S ribosomal RNA". It matches the Rfam family "Bacterial small subunit ribosomal RNA", at positions 341 to 792 of the family's 1533-position model. The record is from RNAcentral. RNAcentral also lists the same sequence under 1 other name.